AUCCUUUUGUAGUUCAUAAGCGUGAUGAUUGGGUCUUCACUCGCUAUGCGUGAGAUGUGCCUCCCUCAAACCUUGUUACGACAUCGGCACAUUACCCGUCUGACG
This 105-nucleotide small nucleolar RNA is filed under the name Microcebus murinus (gray mouse lemur). RNAcentral describes it as "Small nucleolar RNA U13 (ENSMICG00000036536.2)". It matches the Rfam family "Small nucleolar RNA U13". The record is from Rfam by way of RNAcentral. Lineage: Eukaryota; Metazoa; Chordata; Mammalia; Primates; Cheirogaleidae.